Molecule: long non-coding RNA, 3914 nt
Organism: Mus musculus (house mouse)
Lineage: Eukaryota; Metazoa; Chordata; Mammalia; Rodentia; Muridae
Product: predicted gene, 46217
Exons: 2
Source: RefSeq, a predicted model, not a curated record
UGAUCUUCUCACAGUUGUGUUUAUUCUUCUUUAGGGAUUUGGCAUUUAUUCAAUGAAUGUGUGUUUAGAAAGACUACUAAAAAGCACGCUGGGGAUCUUAGCUUGUAGCUGAGCCUGCCCUUGAACUUGCAAUGCUCCUGCGUCAACCUGCUGGAUGGUGGGCUAUUAGGUGAGUCCUACAACUCCUGACUCUAAGUACAGUUUAUGAGUCAUAGUAUAGUUUAUGAGUCAUGGGAAGUUUACAUUAAGAUGCCUGUCACAUCUUUUGGUGCUUAGCUUGGGCCAUGCCCCUGUCUGAGAGCUGGAGCUGGCUGUGGGAAGGGGGAUGGUUAUAACUCAGGACCCACUGAUGUGUGAUUAUCUUGCAAUGCACCCCAGAGACCAUCGCUAGGGUGGCUUUCUCAUCUGUAAAUGAGAUCACUGGUCUCUGACUUUUAGGUCACAUGUCCAAUUUCCCAUGGCCGUAUAACCAAACUGGAUUUAAAAGGCUCUUGUCCCAGUGGUCUCUGGCUUGUGUUGCAGUUCCUUCUGAAUGGAGUUAGUGUUUGCAUUUCAAAAUCUGGAAUUUACAUAAAUAUUUAGCUACCUAUGCUAUCUAGAGAAGUCUUGAAAGCACAUGCUUGGUGUUCCUUUCAGUAGGUUAGUAGCACAGGACACUGGAAGGCCACUUUCUGGAGGGCACACACAUCUGUUUUCAUCUCUGCAUGUGAACCACUUCACCCUGUUGGCCUUUGAGUCUGCAACAUCUAUGACUGGCCUCAGAGAAUUCAAAAUCACUUAAGGACACAAAGCAAAAGUGUUUAUGGGCAGCAAUAAGGAUCUCUGCACAGUGACUUUAGAAUGUCGCAGCUCUCCCCCCUCAUCUUAGAUCCCUGGGGAAUGAGGGCAGAGCAAGGGAGCCUAAACCGCAGCGUAAUCAGGGAGCACAGAUGGGUAGUAUGGCUUAUCAGCCUCAGCACGUGUGGGCAGUGAGGGAAAAGGAGCAGCGGAGGCAGUGGCCUUGGCUCGGUGGGCUUUCUGGGGACCUGCUUUAUUUACUUGUUUAUUUUGGUAUCCCUGAGAAUGGAACCCAGAGUCUCAUGUGUCACUCAAGCUUGACAAACGCUCUACCCAGCCAGCAAGGGGGCAAUGCUAGAUAGCAGGGGGUGAUGCUCCCUCCAGAGAGGCCUUUUCUCUGGCGUCCCACCCCUGAACACUCAUUUACACCAUCACUAACAUAUCAACUAUGCCUCUGAUAGAAAACUCUGAAACAAAACUCAUAUUUCAUGUGAAUAUGCGCUGCUGAAACUCAGCUGAGGUUUGAAGAGGAUGUGUUCUGCUGUGACAUCAUUUCCGGUCCGUGCCUUCUGAAAACAAACAGUCUGGAUUUGUUAGGGGUUGAAUGUCAAAUGUUCCUUACAGACUCCUGCGUUUGAUGACUUGUUUCCCAGAGUGUGGCACUAUUUGGGAAAGUUAUGGACUCUUCUAAAGGUAGAGUCUCAGUGGAUUGAGUGGGGCCUUGGGAUAGCCCCAUGUUUCUACAGUCCAGUUCAGCUUCCUGAUCGCGUUCUGGUUCCUGGUUGCAAAUACAAAGUCAUUAACUACUGCACACUCUCUUGACCUGAGAGCCAAAAGUAAGUGUUUCCUCCCUUAAUUUGAUCUUUGUUGGUAUUUGAUGACAGCAAUGAGACAAGCCAGUACACUCACCUACUCAUCUCUAUUAAAUGACCACUUCCUGGGUGGCAGUGGAUUCCCUGGUAGAUGCUAGCAUCAUAAUUCAGGGUGAACGAUGAACAUUUUAUUCAGAGGCAAAAAGUAAGUCACGUGAGACUUAAAGGGAACCCCAGAGGAGGUUACUUGCAUAACCACGAUUGCCGAGAAGUCUUCAAUAUAUUGAAAAUUUGGAUUUGUUUUGAGGUGCCAUUACCCACAACUGUGCAGAUAAUUUGUGUCUGUCUGUGUGUGCGCACAUGUGCACAUGUGCAUUCAGUGGUUCUCUUCUCCAGAGUAUUUUUAGUGAGCUGAUAGUUUUCUAGUGUAACUCUCAUAAUGUGGCAUUAAAUGAAUAGAGAGUUUGCUCACUAAAGUACAGCUGCAGAUAUUUGCUCUUGAUCAGUUUUACCUGCAGGAGAACGUCAUUCUAGCAGAGACAUCCAGAAACGUGUGUGGAAUCUUUUCUUUUAGUGCUUAUUUGCUUUACCAGUUUUUGUCCACCUCAACUCACCAAGCUCUGUCCAGCACCUUUUUCUCAUUGAGCCAAAAGCAGAGAGGUUCCUGUUUAGAUUUUUAUGAAUCCUUAUUUCAUGAGCAUAUGUGCGUGUGUGUUCCCAUGUACACAAGCAUGUGUGUGUAUGUGUGUGUGUGUGAAAACAAGAGGUUGACUUCUGCCGUUUUUUUCUUCCCCUUUCUUAUUCACUGGAGAUAGCGUCUUUGGCCAAACCUGGAUCUUAUCAGUUUGCCUAGAAAGGCUGUCCAUCAAAUCCCGCAACUCCUCCCAUUUCCCUCCACCCUCUAGUUCCUUGGAAUUCUGUAAGUUAUCAUGGGCAUUUAGAUGAAAGGGCAUGCAUAAAGCAUAGACUAUAAAAUGCUUUUCCUGGUUUCAUUUAUAAUCUAACAAUAAAAAUGAAGAACUGAUUUCUAAGUGGGUAUUAGCUUAAAAGCAUGGAUUCUCUGUCUUUUUCUGCUUUUCUCCUUUCUUCCUUUCUUUCUGUUACUUUUUUCUCCACGUGCUCAGCUAGAGUGUUUGGCUGACAGCUACUUCUUGCAUGUCAUUUGUGGAUGCUUUCAGAUAAAAAAAAAGUGCAGAGUUGCAUUUAUUUUGUUGGCUUCAGACAAAGGACGAAAGCUGUUUCUGUGCUUAUUCUAAGCCAGCUCUGUAAAGAAUGAUAGUGCUACUCAAACUUCAACAAGUUGAGGUUCUCAAACAUUCUGUAUUAUGUUCCUCCAUCUGGUUUUUCUUUGCAUUAAGGAAGAUCAUUUCCAAUGUUUUAUAAUUCUCACAGUGUGGACAUCCAAAAUGUCAGUAACGCUGCAGGGCCCUACUGGGUCUCCAAAGGGAAGACAGCACAGAGAGUAAAGAACAACCCUGAAAAUGCGCGUGCAUACACACACACACACACACACACACACGCAUGCUCCCCCCCACGUGUGUCUCUCUCUGUGUGUGGUGUGUGCGUGUGUAGGAUCCAAUUCUCACCUUCUACUGUGCAGGUUCUCUGGGUGGAACUCAGGUUAUCAGGCUCCGAGCCAAGCGCCUAUGGAAUUGUCUUGACAGCCCUGCAACUGGUUUUUAAAGUUUUGCAUUUGUGAGUUCCACUGAGAAGCAAGUGAAAGCUGUAGAUCCAAGUUUCCAGAGAAACGCACAAACGGUAAACAGAUCUGAACAUUUCACAAGGCUCAUCAGAACCUCUCAGUUCAUGGGUAUGAAUUAGAAAACCCAAAAUAGUAUGUUUAAUAGAUAAAUUUACAAGCAUAUGAAUGUGUACAUAUAUAUGUAUAUAUAAUAAGAUGCAUAUUUAAUCAUUUAAAUUUUUCCUUUUUACAUGGGCAAAGAAGAUCUAGCAUGUGAUUAUUUUUUUGAUUCGGUUUAUCUGGACAAUUCUGAACUUUUUUGUUAUCUAAAAAUUUUAAGUUUUCCCUGGAAGCCACGAAGAAACAAGGAAUUGUCAGAAAAAAAAAUCAACAGAAGGAAAUUGCUUUAAAAGACUUAUGUGUAGAGGACAGGGGUUGAAGUGAAUGAAGUAAAUGAGUCUUCCUUUUCUUCCAUCUGUUUAUUUUUUCACUCUUUGAAAACAAUGUUUUCUAUAUAUCUAUGUAAAAUCUAGGCACCACAGACAAGACCCCCAACAUAGCAGUAAAUAUUUUUCAGUUGUACUACCAACUUUAGGUCACAUUCAAAUAAAAGAACGCGAAGAUGGAACUACUUAUCCAAAUCA